Molecule: ribosomal RNA, 460 nt
Filed under: uncultured bacterium
Lineage: Bacteria
Description: partial 16S ribosomal RNA
Rfam family: Bacterial small subunit ribosomal RNA
Source: RNAcentral
CCUACGGGUGGCAGCAGUGAGGAAUAUUGGUCAAUGGACGAGAGUCUGAACCAGCCAAGUAGCGUGAAGGAUGACUGCCCUAUGGGUUGUAAACUUCUUUUAUAUGGGAAUAAAAUGUUCCACGUGUGGGCUUUUGUAUGUACCAUAUGAAUAAGGAUCGGCUAAAUCCGUGCCAGCAGCCGCGGUAAUACGGAGGAUCCGAGCGUUAUCCGGAUUUAUUGGGUUUAAAGGGAGCGUAGGUGGAUUGUUAAGUCAGUUGUGAAAGUUUGCGGAUCAACCGUAAAAUUGCAGUUGAAACUGGCAGUCUUGAGUACAGUAGAGGUGGGCGGAAUUCGUGGUGUAGCGGUGAAAUGCUUAGAUAUCACGAAGAACUCCGAUUGCGAAGGCAGCUCACUGGACUGCAACUGACACUGAGGCUCGAAAGUGUGGGUAUCAAACAGGAUUAGAUACCCUGGUAGUC